AAUGAACGCUGGCGGCGCGCCUAAUACAUGCAAGUCGAGCGAGAAGACGUAGCAAUACGUUUGUAAAGCGGCGAACGGGUGAGGAAUACAUGGGUAACCUACCCUAGAGUGGGAAUAACUAGCCGAAAGGUUAGCUAAUACCGCGUACGCUCCUUGGACUUCGGUUCAGGGAGGAAAGCGAUGCCGAGGGUAUCGCGCUCUUGGAUGGGCUCAUGUCCUAUCAGCUUGGGUGAGGUAACGGCUCACCAAGGCUUCGACGGGUAGCUGGUCUGAGAGGACGAUCAGCCACACUGGCACUGCGACACGGGCCAGACUCCUACGGGAGGCAGCAGUAAGGAAUAUUGCGCAAUGGGCGAAAGCCUGACGCAGCGACGCCGCGUGGGGGAUG
Molecule: ribosomal RNA, 388 nt
Filed under: uncultured bacterium
Lineage: Bacteria
Description: bacterial SSU rRNA
Rfam family: Bacterial small subunit ribosomal RNA
Source: RNAcentral